RNAcentral lists this ribosomal RNA (245 nucleotides) under uncultured Actinomycetales bacterium. RNAcentral's name for it is "partial 16S ribosomal RNA". It matches the Rfam family "Bacterial small subunit ribosomal RNA", at positions 88 to 334 of the family's 1533-position model. Lineage: Bacteria; Bacillati; Actinomycetota; Actinomycetes; Actinomycetales. The record is from RNAcentral.
UGCUCGAGUGGCGAACGGGUGAGUAACACGUGAGUAACCUGCCCUUGACUUUGGGAUAACUUCAGGAAACUGGGGCUAAUACCGGAUAGGAGCUCCUGCUGCAUGGUGGGGGUUGGAAAGUUUCGGCGGUUUGGGAUGGACUCGCGGCUUAUCAGCUUGCUGGUGGGGUAGUGGCUUACCAAGGCUUUGACGGGUAGCCGGCCUGAGAGGGUGACCGGCCACAUUGGGACUGAGAUACGGCCCAG